GACGAACGCUGGCGGCGUGCCUAAUACAUGCAAGUCGAACGAGAGCGACCGGUGCUUGCACUGGUCAAUCUAGUGGCGAACGGGUGAGUAACACGUGGGUAACCUGCCCAUCAGAGGGGGAUAACAUCCGGAAACGGAUGCUAAAACCGCAUAGGUCUUCGAGCCGCAUGGCUUGAAGAGGAAAAGAGGCACAAGCUUCUGCUGAUGGAUGGACCCGCGGUGCAUUAGCUAGUUGGUGAGGUAACGGCUCACCAAGGCCGUGAUGCAUAGCCGACCUGAGAGGGUGAUCGGCCACAUUGGGACUGAGACACGGCCCAAACUCCUACGGGAGGCAGCAGUAGGGAAUCUUCCGCAAUGGACGCAAGUCUGACGGAGCAACGCCGCGUGAGUGAAGAAGGUUUUCGGAUUGUAAAACUCUGUUGUUAGAGAAGAACAAGUGCUAGAGUAACUGUUAGCGCCUUGACGGUAUCUAACCAGAAAGCCACGGCUAACUACGUGCCAGCAGCCGCGGUAAUACGUAGGUGGCAAGCGUUGUCCGGAUUUAUUGGGCGUAAAGCGAGCGCAGGCGGUUCCUUAAGUCUGAUGUGAAAGCCCCCGGCUCAACCGGGGAGGGUCAUUGGAAACUGGGGAACUUGAGUGCAGAAGAGGAGAGUGGAAUUCCAUGUGUAGCGGUGAAAUGCGUAGAUAUAUGGAGGAACACCAGUGGCGAAGGCGACUCUCUGGUCUGUAACUGACGCUGAGGCUCGAAAGCGUGGGUAGCAAACAGG
Molecule: ribosomal RNA, 767 nt
Filed under: uncultured Granulicatella sp.
Lineage: Bacteria; Bacillati; Bacillota; Bacilli; Lactobacillales; Carnobacteriaceae
Description: bacterial SSU rRNA
Rfam family: Bacterial small subunit ribosomal RNA
Source: RNAcentral